This is a small nuclear RNA of Equus asinus (donkey), 107 nucleotides long. Lineage: Eukaryota; Metazoa; Chordata; Mammalia; Perissodactyla; Equidae. The record is from Ensembl.
GUGCUCGCUUCGGCAGCACAUAUACUAAAAUUGGAACGAUACAGAGAAAAUUAGCACGGCCCCUGGGCAAGGAUGACAUGCAAAUUCGUGAAGCCUUCCAUAUUUUU